GGGAUAACAGUUGGAAACGGCUGCUAAUACCGCAUAAGCGCACAGCAUCGCAUGAUGCAGUGUGAAAAACUCCGGUGGUAUAAGAUGGACCCGCGUUGGAUUAGCUAGUUGGUGAGGUAACGGCCCACCAAGGCGACGAUCCAUAGCCGACCUGAGAGGGUGACCGGCCACAUUGGGACUGAGACACGGCCCAAACUCCUACGGGAGGCAGCAGUGGGGAAUAUUGCACAAUGGGCGAAAGCCUGAUGCAGCGACGCCGCGUGAGCGAAGAAGUAUUUCGGUAUGUAAAGCUCUAUCAGCAGGGAAGAUAAUGACGGUACCUGACUAAGAAGCACCGGCUAAAUACGUGCCAGCAGCCGCGGUAAUACGUAUGGUGCAAGCGUUAUCCGGAUUUACUGGGUGUAAAGGGAGCGCAGGCGGUGCGGCAAGUCUGAUGUGAAAGCCCGGGGCUCAACCCCGGUACUGCAUUGGAAACUGUCGUACUAGAGUGUCGGAGGGGUAAGCGGAAUUCCUAGUGUAGCGGUGAAAUGCGUAGAUAUUAGGAGGAACACCAGUGGCGAAGGCGGCUUACUGGACGAUAACUGACGCUGAGGCUCGAAAGCGUGGGGAGCAAACAGGAUUAGAUACCCUGGUAGUCCACGCCGUAAACGACGAAAACGGGGUGUUGGGAAGCAUUGCUUCUCGGUGCCGUCG
This 693-nucleotide ribosomal RNA is filed under the name uncultured bacterium. Its description in RNAcentral is "bacterial SSU rRNA". It matches the Rfam family "Bacterial small subunit ribosomal RNA", at positions 140 to 851 of the family's 1533-position model. The record is from RNAcentral.